GCUGGGUGUGGUGGUGGGCACCUGUAAUCCCAGCUACUUGGGAGGCUGAGGCAGAAGAAUUGCUUGAACCUGGGAGGCAGAGGUUGCAGUGAGCUGAGAUCAUGCCACUGCACUCCAGCCUGGGUGACAGAGCGAGACUCUGUCUCAA
Molecule: non-coding RNA, 148 nt
Filed under: Nomascus leucogenys (northern white-cheeked gibbon)
Lineage: Eukaryota; Metazoa; Chordata; Mammalia; Primates; Hylobatidae
Source: Rfam by way of RNAcentral